RNAcentral lists this ribosomal RNA (249 nucleotides) under uncultured Sphingomonadaceae bacterium. Its description in RNAcentral is "partial 16S ribosomal RNA". It matches the Rfam family "Bacterial small subunit ribosomal RNA", at positions 355 to 621 of the family's 1533-position model. Lineage: Bacteria; Pseudomonadati; Pseudomonadota; Alphaproteobacteria; Sphingomonadales; Sphingomonadaceae. The record is from RNAcentral.
UGGGGAAUAUUGGACAAUGGGCGAAAGCCUGAUCCAGCAAUGCCGCGUGAGUGAAGAAGGCCUUCGGGUUGUAAAGCUCUUUUGCCCGGGAUGAUAAUGACCGUACCGGGAGAAUAAGCCCCGGCUAACUCCGUGCCAGCAGCCGCGGUAAUACGGAGGGGGCUAGCGUUGUUCGGAAUUACUGGGCGUAAAGCGCACGUAGGCGGCUUUUCAAGUCAGAGGUGAAAGCCCGGGGCUCAACUCCGGACU